RNAcentral lists this ribosomal RNA (691 nucleotides) under uncultured bacterium. Its description in RNAcentral is "bacterial SSU rRNA". It matches the Rfam family "Bacterial small subunit ribosomal RNA", at positions 8 to 694 of the family's 1533-position model. The record is from RNAcentral.
AGAGUUUGAUCCUGGCUCAGGUUGAACGCUGGCGGCAGGCCUAACACAUGCAAGUCGAGCGGAUGAAGGGAGCUUGCUCCCUGAUUUAGCGGCGGACGGGUGAGUAAUGCCUAGGAAUCUGCCUGGUAGUGGGGGAUAACGUUCCGAAAGGAACGCUAAUACCGCAUACGUCCUACGGGAGAAAGCAGGGGACCUUCGGGCCUUGCGCUAUCAGAUGAGCCUAGGUCGGAUUAGCUAGUUGGUGAGGUAAUGGCUCACCAAGGCGACGAUCCGUAACUGGUCUGAGAGGAUGAUCAGUCACACUGGAACUGAGACACGGUCCAGACUCCUACGGGAGGCAGCAGUGGGGAAUAUUGGACAAUGGGCGAAAGCCUGAUCCAGCCAUGCCGCGUGUGUGAAGAAGGUCUUCGGAUUGUAAAGCACUUUAAGUUGGGAGGAAGGGCAUUAACCUAAUACGUUAGUGUUUUGACGUUACCGACAGAAUAAGCACCGGCUAACUUCGUGCCAGCAGCCGCGGUAAUACGAAGGGUGCAAGCGUUAAUCGGAAUUACUGGGCGUAAAGCGCGCGUAGGUGGUUCGUUAAGUUGGAUGUGAAAGCCCCGGGCUCAACCUGGGAACUGCAUCCAAAACUGGCGAGCUAGAGUACGGUAGAGGGUGGUGGAAUUUCCUGUGUAGCGGUGAAAUGCGUAGA